This is a long non-coding RNA of Sceloporus undulatus (fence lizard), 1388 nucleotides long. RefSeq lists it as uncharacterized. The transcript has 4 exons. The record is from RefSeq and is a predicted model, not a curated record. NCBI's taxonomy places the organism in Eukaryota, Metazoa, Chordata, Lepidosauria, Squamata, Phrynosomatidae.
UUCCUGCCUCUGCCACACUGGUAACCAUCGCCAGGGUUUUCAAAAGAGCUGCCUUCAUCACCAUGCCCAACAUGAGCCAGGCAAGAGGAGCACAAAGCAAGCAAUUGACAAUUCAAGACAAUUCAAGCGUGGGAACACUCCGAUUUCCAUUUCUGCUGAGGUAGUCAUUCUCCAAUCAAACAUGGAAAGAGAUCCACCCCCUUUCCUCUUUAUCUUUUUUUAAUCUCCCCAGAUUGAACUUCAGCCCCUGUUGAGUCAUUUCAGACAAGGCUGGAAAAGAGUACGAACAAACAUCUAGAGGGAAAGGCAUGCAGCUUGUGCAUCAUUCUGCUUCGCUUUAAAAGGAGAAAUUGCUGGUCUUGCUGGCAAAGGGAAAAAGGGAAGAUUUAAAGAGCAGAAACCUAAUCUAGGCCUCUAAUCACAAUCAGUCACAUUAAUCAUGAAGUUUCAGUUCUCCACAAAAUGUAUGUCAGAAAGAAAGGCCCCAAAAAAAAAAAACCCCACUAAAGAGAAGCAGAAGAGAGAACACGGUGUUCAAGGUUGGCAAUGAUGUUACUUUGGAGAACAACAUGGUGGGAAUUUAUCUGGCCGAAGGAAAAAAACAGAUUUGUCUGCUGAACAAGAAGUGAUCUUAUGCAAGAGAUAACUCCAGGAUGUCACUGAAGUGGAGGUUUUUCAGAAUGGUUCUGUUGGAAAGAGGAGAAAUACAGCUACAUCAUGGGAAUCAAGUUGUGAUGGAAUAUUUUCAAACUGUGGAUUACUGAAUUUGUGGAUCAAAAAUCCAUGGAUAUGGAAUGGAAGGCUGACUGCAAUCACAAUUCUUCCUCAUCUUAAAGGAUGGCUGCCCUUAUUCAAAAGUUACUGGGACUAUUAGAGUUGUACAUUCAACAUUAUAAAUUCUUAUUCCUCUGGCCUACCUAUUUCCUAGAGCAAAUGACAGUAAGAUCCCAGCUUAAACUCUUCAAACUAAAAAUUGAUCAUCUUGCAGGGCUAUUACAAAAACAACUGAAAGGAGAAAUGGAAGCACUCUGAACACACUGGAAAUGGUUUAUAAUAUAUAUUGAUGGGUGCAUAGUCAAUGAUGUUCGUGCAUUUUCUUUAUAUAGGGGUUUUUUAAGAAUUAAAAUAAAUUAAUUUAAAAACCAUGUAGAAAGUAUUUGCUUCUCAAGGUUUCCCAGAAUUCCUUGUGUUUGACAUUGAAAGACAACAUAUUUUGAAGCUUGCAACAUGUAUAUUGUGCAUUUCUAGAUUUUGGAUGUUAUUGUAAUUUACUGUAUGGCCAACACGGCACCCCAUGGAUAUGUUAUCUGAACAUUUGCUUUAGUUUCCCGAGUCCUGGAACAUAAGAAUGGCUGGUAUCUUUCUGAAUAAAAUUAGAAUAAAACUUG